GAUUAUGCUGGAGUUCCAUGGUUCCUAGGGUGUUGAGGAAUGAUGCCUCAGGAUUCAGAAUUUUUUGUGUUUGUAAUUUCCUGAGCUCUAUUUAGUUCUUCCAAUUAAAAAAAAUAUCCAUGGUCAGAUGUAAUCCCUGGUCCAUGCCUCCAUUCAUGAUUGACCUCAGUGAUCAAUUCUACCACUGCAAUCACAAGCAGAUAGCUCACCUCCUCCUGUAGCCAUAGGCAAGAAUCCCACUCUCUUGGGGCUAACCACAAACAACAGGGCACCAGACUCUUAGCAAAGAUACUGAUGGAAGGAUUGCCUCCCUAGUGAGAAUACCUGAAAGAAAACGUAAAGGACUUCAACAAGAAUCCAAAGCCUGAAAAGGGAGGAACCCAGUGCAGCUUCAGACUCAGAAAAUCCCUGAAGCCAAAUCCUGCAAUGACUGAGGAAAAGUUACAAAAACAAUGAUCUCCGUCUACCAAGCUUCUCAGUUGAGAGGAAUCUGAACUGUCUCCUUCUGGACAUUCUUUUGGGGAGCCAACCAUCUGAGCUCCUUUUUCAAAGGACCUUCUCUGUACUGGGGAGGGGAGGGGGGCUAGAACAAACUGUUCAUGUCUUGGUAGGCAGGUGUUCUCAAAUAAAUAAUUAGGGAAUGAAGAAUGUUAAUUUAUUCUGGCUGGGUCAAGCUGUGUUGUUCUUUAGAUUUGGAACAUCUUGCAGUAGCAGAUUCUUUUUCUAAAAAGCAGCAGGUACAGUGACCCCCCCCUCAAAAAAAUCACAAAAUGAUAGAAUGGAAAGUGUUGUAUUGAACUAUCUAGUACCAAAUAAAUAAGGCAUAAUUACAAAUUAAAAUGUGAGUUAUAGACUAAAGUACACUGAAAGUCCAACGUGAAAAAGAUGACCACAGAAAUCAUCAUAAUGUCAAGAGUUCUUAACCUGGGUUCUAUGAAUUUUUUUUAAUAUUUUAUCUCAACUUUAAUAAAUAUAUUUUAAUAUAACUGA
Monodelphis domestica (gray short-tailed opossum) is the source of this 990-nucleotide long non-coding RNA. RefSeq lists it as uncharacterized. Lineage: Eukaryota; Metazoa; Chordata; Mammalia; Didelphimorphia; Didelphidae. The record is from RefSeq and is a predicted model, not a curated record.